Long non-coding RNA from Microplitis mediator, 963 nucleotides. RefSeq lists it as uncharacterized. The record is from RefSeq and is a predicted model, not a curated record. The transcript is spliced from 3 exons. Lineage: Eukaryota; Metazoa; Arthropoda; Insecta; Hymenoptera; Braconidae.
UCAGGCUCUCAUGAAUUUUUAAUUGGUGUAGUCUACAAAACGUUCUGUGAAACUCUCAAUUCUGUCUAGUAAAAUGCUUACUGCAUCUAAACAUUUUAUGUCAGUGACACUGAGUUAGUUCGCAUGAAUAAUGUAGAAUAUAAAUUAUUCCACUUUAAAAAUCUUUUCGUGCUAUCAAAAGUCUAUUAGCAGUUUUAGAAAAAAAAUAAAAUUAUGUAAAAUAUCUAACAAUGACGAUUUAUAAAUAAAAUUUACUUUUUUCACAAAAUUGAAGAGCAUCUUUUUAUCGUCCAAUUUUUUUUAUAGUAAUUCAAUUGAAAAUAUUUUAUAAACUUAUUAAUGAAGUAGAAAAAUGAAUAUUCGACGAAAUAAAAAUUUUAUUUGAGCAACUUAUCAUAUAACUUUUUUCCUAUUUCUAUCCUACUUCGACUAAUGGAACCUUCUUUUUGAUGAGUGUCGCUGAAACCAACUAGUAGUGGCAAAGGUACUAGAGGGAGGUCUCAAGGUCAUUGAGAGGCCGCACGCGCGGGUUUAUCUCACAAAUACAUAUAUUCAUUUAGUAUGACAUUCAUAGUGUUGCAGCAUUACACACGUUUGCACACAGGCACGUACUUCCUCUAUCACGUCAUCACUGACACAAUCAUGAAUACCUUUUAUAUAUUUAUUCUGUGUUAUUUAAACAAGUUGAACCACUCUUUUUUACUCCCACUUAAUCAAUACGUCUAACAGAUUCAUGACAACGAUACUGUAAAAUAAACUAAGAAAACUUAAGUUCUAUUUAUCCAAGAAUUAUAGUGUAGUUAGAAAUGAGAUCUCUAACUUAAAUUAUUUUGGUUUUCUAGCUUAAAAUCGAAACUUACAUGCCGCACGACCUGUUAACGGAUAAACCAGGUAGUUUGAGCACAGGGGACAAAGCACGUGGACGCACGGGAAGCAGCGCCAGAAGAAAGAACAGCUCACGUC